Molecule: ribosomal RNA, 310 nt
Filed under: uncultured bacterium
Lineage: Bacteria
Description: bacterial SSU rRNA
Rfam family: Bacterial small subunit ribosomal RNA
Source: RNAcentral
UGGCUCGAGGACGAACGCUGGCGGCGUGCUUAACACAUGCAAGUCGAACGAUGAAGCCCUUCGGGGUGGAUUAGUGGCGAACGGGUGAGUAACACGUGGGCAAUCUGCCCUUCACUCUGGGACAAGCCCUGGAAACGGGGUCUAAUACCGGAUAACGCUCUGUUCCGCAUGGGACGGGGUUAAAAGCUCCGGCGGUGAAGGAUGAGCCCGCGGCCUAUCAGCUUGUUGGUGGGUGAUGGCCUACCAAGGCGACGACGGGUAGCCGGCCUGAGAGGGCGACCGGCCACACUGGGACUGAGACACGGCCCAG